AUUGAACGCUGGCGGCAUGCCUUACACAUGCAAGUCGAACGGCAGCGGACCUUCGGGUGCCGGCGAGUGGCGAACGGGUGAGUAAUAUAUCGGAACGUACCUUUCAGUGGGGGAUAACGUAGCGAAAGUUACGCUAAUACCGCAUAUUCUGUGAGCAGGAAAGCAGGGGAUCGCAAGACCUUGCGCUGAUUGAGCGGCCGAUAUCAGAUUAGCUAGUUGGUGAGGUAAAGGCUCACCAAGGCGACGAUCUGUAGCGGGUCUGAGAGGAUGAUCCGCCACACUGGAACUGAGACACGGUCCAGACUCCUACGGGAGGCAGCAGUGGGGAAUUUUGGACAAUGGGCGCAAGCCUGAUCCAGCCAUGCCGCGUGAGUGAUGAAGGCCUUAGGGUUGUAAAGCUCUUUUACCAGGGAUGAUAAUGACAGUACCUGGAGAAUAAGCUCCGGCUAACUCCGUGCCAGCAGCCGCGGUAAAG
RNAcentral lists this ribosomal RNA (475 nucleotides) under uncultured bacterium. Its description in RNAcentral is "bacterial SSU rRNA". It matches the Rfam family "Bacterial small subunit ribosomal RNA", at positions 30 to 525 of the family's 1533-position model. The record is from RNAcentral.